GCACGUUGGUUAGUCACAAUGUCACCACUGGGGAUUGGCACUGUGACUUAUUUUACAUAUUGGGAAACUGAGACAGAGAUAAGGAGUUUGCUCAAGCUCACAGCCGACAUUUGAAUCGCGACAUUGAAUCCCUUGCGGUAGUUAGCGUACAGUAGGCUAUGAAUGCACUGAUUUCUGUUUUGUGUGUGCAGAAGGUGGGAAGUAGAAAGCCAUGGUGAAGGAGGAGGGUGGGGAGAGGCAAGAGGGAUAGGACUGGACGGGUACAUAGGAGGGCUUUCCUUGGUAACCGCUUGCACCUUAGCGUUAUGCCUUCCUGUGAAAACCCCGGGGCUUCCGAUUCUAUUCCGAAGGGCAUUUAAACAUGCAUGUUUAUGGGUCACCUUCCCUGGGAAGAGAGCAUAGGCACACCCAAGAGGUCUUGGUGCCUGCUAAUCGUUAACUCGAUGGUCAAAUUCAUUUUGUAGGUUUCAGUUUUCUCAUCGUAAAGAGGAGGCAGUGUUGUUGCUUGCCUGUUCCUUGACUUGAUUCUUCAGUUGCCGCAGUGUAGGCAGAACGGUUCAGAAUGUCCCAAUGUUGAUCAUUGUUUCUCCUUUCUUUGGUCAUGUGUGUCUUCAUCCAAAAAAAAAAAAAAAAAA
This 635-nucleotide long non-coding RNA is filed under the name Rattus norvegicus (Norway rat). Its description in RNAcentral is "long non-coding RNA NONRATT027909". Lineage: Eukaryota; Metazoa; Chordata; Mammalia; Rodentia; Muridae. The record is from RNAcentral.